This 433-nucleotide ribosomal RNA is filed under the name uncultured bacterium. RNAcentral describes it as "partial 16S ribosomal RNA". It matches the Rfam family "Bacterial small subunit ribosomal RNA", at positions 29 to 507 of the family's 1533-position model. The record is from RNAcentral.
AACGAACGCUGGCGGCAUGCCUAACACAUGCAAGUCGAACGAGAACUUCGGGUCUAUUGGCGCACGCGAUCGUAACGCGUGGGAACCUGCCCAUAGGUUCGGAAUAACUCCCCGAAAGGGGUGCUAAUAUCGGAUAAUGUCUUCGGACCAAAGCUUUAUCGCCUUUGGAUGGGCCCGCGUUGGAUUAGCUAGUUGGUAGGGUAAACGCCUACCAAGGCGACGAUCCAUAGCUGGUAUGAGAGGAUGAUCAGCCACACUGGGACUGGGACACGGCCCAGACUCUUACGAGAGGAAGCAGUGCGGAAUGUGGGACAACGGGCGAAAGACUGAGGCAUUAAGGCUGCGAAAGUGAUGAAAGCCGGAGGGAAGUAAAGCUCUUGUACCCGGGAAGAUAUUGACGGUACCGGAAGAGAAAGCCCCGGCUAACUCCGUG